RNAcentral lists this ribosomal RNA (447 nucleotides) under uncultured bacterium. RNAcentral's name for it is "bacterial SSU rRNA". It matches the Rfam family "Bacterial small subunit ribosomal RNA", at positions 355 to 825 of the family's 1533-position model. The record is from RNAcentral.
UGGGGAAUAUUGGACAAUGGGCGAAAGCCUGAUCCAGCCAUGCCGCGUGAGUGACGAAGGCCUUAGGGUUGUAAAAUCCUUUCGUUGGGGACGAUAAUGACGGUACCCAAAGAAGAAGCUCCGGCUAACUUCGUGCCAGCAGCCGCGGUAAUACGAAGGGGGCUAGCGUUGUUCGGAUUUACUGGGCGUAAAGCGCACGUAGGCGGAUCAGCAAGUCAGGGGUGAAAUCCCGGGGCUCAACCUCGGAACUGCAUUUGUGACUGCAAGGCUAGAGUACGGUAGAGGGGGAUGGAAUUCCGCGUGUAGCAGUGAAAUGCGUAGAUAUGCGGAGGAACACCGAUGGCGAAGGCAAUCCCCUGGACCUGUACUGACGCUCAUGCACGAAAGCGUGGGGAGCAAACAGGGUUAGAUACCCCCGUAGUCCCUGAGCGGGCUGGCAAGGCGCAU